This 55-nucleotide transfer RNA is filed under the name Tigriopus californicus. Its description in RNAcentral is "tRNA-Thr". Lineage: Eukaryota; Metazoa; Arthropoda; Copepoda; Harpacticoida; Harpacticidae. The record is from RNAcentral.
GAAAUCUUAGUUUAUUUAAAAUAUGAUCUUUGUAAGUUCAAGAAUCUAGAUUUCU